Callithrix jacchus (white-tufted-ear marmoset) is the source of this 5744-nucleotide non-coding RNA. Lineage: Eukaryota; Metazoa; Chordata; Mammalia; Primates; Cebidae. The record is from RefSeq and is a predicted model, not a curated record.
AUCCUGAAGCAGAACAGGGAGGAAAAUGCAAGUAAGUAAUGUCAGACCUUAUAUUUUUUUGGAGGAUACCCAGGGAUCAAAGGCCUAGUUCAAAGAGUAGAGAAGUCAGUGCCCCAUGUCGGGGGCUGACUUUUUGGAAGCCAGAGGUCCCAUCCUGAUGGUUAGGGACAGUGGCUGGCAGCCAUGACUGAUGGGUCUAUACAGGGAAGCAAGGUUAAAAAUAUCUACCAUCUAGAAAUAAAAAUGAUUCACUCAGAAGAAAUUAAAACCCACAGAACAUUCCACAUUGAGUGCAGUGAUUGCAGCUGUGGUUCAAUUCCUUAAAUACUCCUGAGACCAAAAGACUCAAAAGAGUAGUGAAUCCUCAUCCAUUUCCUCCACUUAGACCCUUACAAAGCACAGGAUCAGAGACUGUGUUUUAUCUUUAAAGAUUUCCAAUGGGAGGAAAUCUUUCUGUCCCUUAGCAGUCCAUAGCAGUAUUGAUCAUCUUCCUCUGAAAGCCAUUCCCUGUUUACAAUUAGGACCUGUGUUUGACAGUCAUUUAAAUGUUUCUUUUCAUUUCGGGCUGAAGCAGGGGUGAGUUGGAGCUGAAUCUUUCCACCCCCAUUCAGUCUUGUUUAAAGCAACACAUCUCAAAGGUUGGUUUGCUGGCUUGUUUUAAUUAAGUACUAUAAAAGACCACAGGGCUAAAACAGCUGUCACUCCCACCCAAUCCUCCUCUCUGUCCUAAAAGAAACCAUUGCUAAAAGUAUCGUUCCCAAGGUUGCUUAUGCAUACAUUUGAGUGGCUUUUAAAUCACAAAUGCCUUACCAGUUAGCAUUGUAUCUUAGAGAUCCCUUCUGUGGUCCUAGUUUGUCUUGAAAGCGUUUCUCUCGUAACUACUGAUUCUCCGAGACCAGCAAUGCCCAAAAUAGGACACUCCCACUGUUUCCUCUGUGCCUUCCACCAUUCAGAUUUGGGGCUUAUUUCUCUUGGAACAUUUUAUACUCUCAGUUGAUUUAUCACCUUCAAACACUAUCCAUUCCAUUUCUCACUUCUCGCUGCUUAUCAAGAGGAAAGUUGAAUACUUACACAAACCUGCGCCUCUUCUCCUUUUACACCCCGAAGGUGUGUUUUCAUUUUUGCAUGGACAUAGUGUGUAAUAUUUGUAUUCCAUGUUGUAACUAUAAUUCUCCCACAAAGGGAGGCUUAUGUUUUUCUGGCAUUUUAGUAUAAAAUUCUUAAACACACAGCAAUGCCAAAAAAAUAUUAUAAGGAACGCUUGUAUGCCCACCACCUAAAUUCUGCGAUGAAACUUUUACGCUGCAGUUGUCCCUUGAUAUCUGUGGGGGACUCGUUCAGGACUUCCCCAGAUACCAAGGUGGCUCAUGCCUGUAAUCCUAGCACUUGCGGAGGAUCACUUGAAGUCAGGAGUUCAAGACUAGCCUAGGUACCGUAGCAAAACCUCAUCUCUACAAAAAAUAAAAAAUUUAGCCACGCACAGGAAUGCACACCUAUAGUCCCAGCUACUCAGGAGACUGAGACAGGAGGAUUGCUUGAGCCCAGGGGUCUAAGGCUGCCAUGAGCUGUGAUUAUACCACUGAACUUCAGCCUUGGUGACAGAGGAAGACCCUGUCUCUAAAUCACUAAAUGGUGUCGUAUUUGCAUAUACCUAUUCAUGUCCUCCCGUAUACUUUAAAUUAUCUCUAGAUUACUUUAAUGCCCAAGACAAUAUAAGUACUGUGUAAAUAACUGUUAUACUGUCCAAGGAUAAGAAAAAGUCUGUAUAUGUUCGAUACAUAAUUUUUUCAAAAAUACUUUCAACCAAAGCUUGGUUGGCUGGGUCCACAGAUCCAGAGGGCCACCUGUACUUGCUUUGUCACAUAUUUAUGCACCCAUCAAUCCAUCUUAUUUGUGUGUGCAAUUCACAGUAAGACAAAGACAUCAAUAAACCUUCCUAAGCAUGCAUCUCACCAGCCAGAGCUCAGUAUUAGUUUAUAGUGUUCCUCGUCUGAUACAAAUCUAUACAUUUCAUUAUGUAUAAAACUUUAUAUUUUUUAAUGGCUGGAUGCUCAUCAGCUUCUUACUGAACUUCUGUCUGGAUGUCUUCUUUAGCCAAAUUUGUCCUCUUUUCUUCUCUUCAGAAUGAGCCCAUGGGAAACAGAAUUCCCGAGCUGUGCAUGUUUCAGUGCAUCCAUCCUUUGAUUGUAUAGUUGAGUGACAGUUUGAGUGGGUAUAAAACCUGAAUGUUUUCCCAGCAGGGUUUUGGGGACAUUGCUCUCACUGAAUAUACUGCUGUAAAGAAGUUUUCUGACCUAUUUUUUCCCUACCACUAUCGUGAUUUUUGUUGCUAGUUUUUUGCCUUGACAGAGAGACUCACAGAAUUGUUGCAGUCUAGCCCAGUGAUGUGCCAACACUAAUGCAGAUGUGAAUCACCUGUCAAUCCUGUUAAAAUGCAGAUUCUAACUUGCGAAGUCUGGGGCAAGGCCUGAGAUUCUGCAUCCCUAAUGAGUGGAUCUAUGGGCAGCGGGGAAGAAAAAACAAGGGAACAGUGACCUCCUGAGGAAUCCAGAAGAAUGAAUCUAUGAUCUCAUGCACCGUGCAUCAGAAAUACUAAAGGAAGGGGAAGAAGGGAAAUUCAACAUCCAGCAAGGGCCUGUUCGUCAAACACUACACCUAAAAUCCAGUGGGAAAGUAAACUAGAGAAACUAUAUACAAGCGCAGGAGAGCCAGUUUGUUUGUUUUGGUAAAUGACUGGCUCUAGAAGCAGCUGGGUCCCAAAUUGCAUCACCUGGAGGUGUCUAUUUGUCUAUCUCAGCUGUGCACGAGGGGCUCUGUCAUCCAGGAUUCGACGGGAUUCUUAAGAGCUGGUCCUAUGACCCAGCUUGGCUUGUUUGCCGAAAAAUACAAAAUGACCCUUUUCAUACCAUGAAGGGGUUCUGUGUUUCGUUCAGCAUGGAAGAAAACUCUGACAAUUCAAAGAAGUAAAUUAACCCUCUCAAUUUUAUAGAAGAGGAAGGUGAAUUCUGAAGGAUUUGGGGAGUUGGUCUCUCAAGACUGCAACUCCCUGCAGAUGCCAAAGGCCUCUCCCUUGCCACCCUCUCACACUGCCAGCCAGAGAGCGAGAGGGAGCUCAAACCAGACCUAGCCCUGGCUAGGAAGCAGCAAACCGCGUGUAACAUUUCAAAAUGAAAUCAAACUACAGUGCCAGGUUGGCAAUCCACCAACAAUCCAAUUUUGCAUGUAGACAUUGCACGUCGGGGGGCAUAGCCUCCCCCCUACCAGGCUCUACAUGCACCAGCUCUCCAAGCUACCCAAAUGCUUUUGCAGUGAUUCCAUCCAAACCAGGAAAAAUGACUUUGCAUUCUUCUGAAGACAGCAGCCAAACCCAAGUACGAUACCAGCCCAAACUCAACAUCCUAAUUAAAGUGCCUCUUACCUGAUUUGAUUGCUUUAAUGGGGUAAGUGGCAUGAGCAAGAAAGUUGGGAUCACUGAACAUAUCUUCUUCGUAAACCACGAAGCGCAGAAAUGCCAGGUUUGGGUCAUAAAUUUCAAAUGUCACCUUCUCCUGUGUUGGAGCCCAGAUAGGGCUGAGGCCAUUAUCAUCUGGAAGGAGGUAAAAGCUCAUUAGAGGCCACACUGAGCUACCCUUUCCUGGUAAAACAAUCUCUGUGUCCUUCAGCCAUGAAUCCCCUUGGCAACCAUGUAAACAAACACACAUCCAUGCCAAGAUCUAAGAAAAACUGAAUAAUUAUCUUCACUCCCCAACCCCACCUGGUGCAAUCCUGGAAGCUGCUGUUGCAGACUGGUCUCUUGGUGAGCAGAGGAAGGAGAUCACCUCCCAUCUCCCCUCCUCCAGGAUCGGGAAUGAAAGGAAGGGGGAGGUGUUUGCAGAGCCGGAAGGUGGAUUUUGGAAAAGAUAAAAGGGGAGAAGAGAGCCCGGGAGCCACGUCUACCAGCAGGGGGUCCUACAGCUGGCAGGGGAGAGCCCAGCCUCACAGAGCAGCCAAGAAGCAAUCCUGCCACUCUUCAUACAUGCCCCUUUACUUGAUCAGCAUCUGAGUUAUUCACUGGGCUACUUUUGACCAGGGGCAAGGAUCCUGUGCCUUAGAAGGCCCAUGAUUCACGGUUCCUUCCCAGCUUUUCCUGGAAGAGCAAGCCUUCCUCUUUUCCCUCCUGCCUUCUAGGGGCUAAGAUCCCCCAGGUUAGGCUAAUGUUCUGGCCCAGGUCAGCCAUGCAGAUUCACCUUCUCUCUCUGUGUCUCUGCCUCUUGGCCUUUGACUCUGAAGAUAAAUCAGACUGGGCUAUUUCACAGAGAGGACCUAUCUAGUGUCAGGGCACAGUGGGCGAGGGUCUCACCUAGGAUUCCAGACUUGAGUGACAGGCAGGCAAGCAGCACUGGGGAAAGUCUAAGGAUUUAACAAAGUGGCCGUUUGUAUCCCCUCCUCAAGCUGAGCCACGUGGGCGAUAGGAAAGAAUUUCCUGGGACAGCAGAAGUGCAUUGCAAAAUCCCUCACGAAGAGCAUCGCCACAAAGGGUUCACUGGCUGGACAUGUAAAAGCAGAGGGGCCAAGGCAACUUACUCACAACCGUUGUUUUGAACUUGUUGUUGUCAUACUCAGCUCCACAGAUCUCCACUUCUACAAAGGGACAGGCAAUACUUCGUCCAGGUUUGGGGAGAUGGCGAGCACCGAGAACCUGAGACACAGAAGGUGUAUCAGAACUACGCUAUGAAUACCAGCUGCAUUAGAUACAUCGAGUAAGAAGGAAAAAUAGUUUGCAGAAAAGAAAACGCAGUUGCUCCGUAAAUAAGGAGAAAAGUGGUCGACGUCGCUUACAAGCAGCAGCUCUAAUGGACGGUUUAUCAGUUUUCACCACUCAGUUGUGCCAAUGGCGAAAAGUUCAACAAAACUCUAUGAAGUUAUACCCAAAGAGUGUACCCUAACCCCCAACUAUUUACAUUCUCGCCUGUGAUCUCUAUGGAGGGCAGUUUGGCAACGUGGCUUAGCUGGGGCACACCUGCAGGGAGGUCUGCAGUGGUUUUCAGCAGGGCAAAGUUUAUCCAAAUGCAAGUGCUGUCCGACUCCCCCUGCCCUUCGGAGAAUCUGUCCUACAGACGUACUCCUGCAUCUGUGGAAUGCCACUCACGUAGCGGUACAGAAAGCAGUGCUGUUCUGUCUGCGACAGCGAAUAAUGGGGAAUACCUACAUGUGCCUCCACGGGGACUUGUUAAAUAAAUGAUGGUUCCAUGCAAUGGAAUCCGAUGCGGCUAUAAAAGGAAUGUAAAGGAGGCUACUGAUGAAUAGAUCCCCCAAAAGAGGUUUUAAAUAACAAUAACAAAAGCACAAAGCCCUGUGAUUUAUGGAACCACGUUGUGUCCAGAAGUUUGUGUAUGCUGGAGAUGCCGGCAUGUGAAUGUCUGAGCCCAAAACCCUCACAGGGCGACAGGCCCGGGGGAGAGAGCUCCAAAGAUGCUUUAGCUACAUGAGCUCGUGCAUUUUCUUUUUCUCCUAAGCUAGACUACCUCAGCCUCUGUCACUUGCAGUCACCAAGCCUGCCUGAGCCAAGCACCUGUCGGUCCUCUCAUCCCUCCAUUCAGCUGCUGGACCUCAUAGUAACCAGCACUCUGCUGAACUGUGGUCCCUUAGACAAAUCACUCAUUCCUGGACACCACCUUGUACUGCUGACCCAAGCUGACUUGGCCUGGAGUGACUGCCACUGCCACCUUGUAGGGACAGGACUACCUUUAGUCCAUCUUUACCUG